CUCACUGCAACCUCAACCUCCCGGGUUCAAGUGAUUCUCCUGCCUCAUCCUCUCAUGUAGCUGGGAUAUAGGCACGCACCACCACGCCCAUCUAAUUUUUGUAUUUUUAGUAGAGACAGGGUUUCACCAUGUUUGUCAGGCCGGUCUCGAACUCCUGGCCUCAAGUGAUCCACCGCCACCUUGGCCUCUUAAAGUGCUGGGAUUACAGGUCUGGUGCUCCGUCCGCACACCUGAGAGCUCCCACGAAGGCCUCAUCACCGAUCCCCACAGCCCCUCUCGCUUCCGGGUCAUCGGCUCCCUCUCCAAUUCCAAGGAGUUCUCAGAACACUUCCGCUGCCCACCUGGCUCACCCAUGAACCCGCCUCACAAGUGCGAAGUCUGGUAAGGACGAAGCGGAGAGAGC
RNAcentral lists this long non-coding RNA (403 nucleotides) under Homo sapiens (human). Its description in RNAcentral is "HSALNT0002805". The record is from RNAcentral. Lineage: Eukaryota; Metazoa; Chordata; Mammalia; Primates; Hominidae.